Molecule: non-coding RNA, 83 nt
Organism: Aspergillus caelatus
Lineage: Eukaryota; Fungi; Ascomycota; Eurotiomycetes; Eurotiales; Aspergillaceae
Source: the annotation of a RefSeq genome assembly
GCCUCUAUAGCUCAGUGGUAGAGCGCUUGACUUGUACCUAAAUAGAUAUCAAGAGGUCCGUGGUUCAAUCCCGCGUGGAGGCA